Molecule: long non-coding RNA, 1034 nt
Filed under: Linum usitatissimum (flax)
Lineage: Eukaryota; Viridiplantae; Streptophyta; Magnoliopsida; Malpighiales; Linaceae
Description: long non-coding RNA (LUSI_LNC007782)
Source: RNAcentral
CAAAAUUCACUCUAUAUGAUUUGUUGCAGCUGUACAAGUUUCAGACUAUUUUCAAGUGUUUUCGCUCGAGUUGGGUGUGUUUCGUGUUCAUAAAUGAUAUAAAAUUGAUUUUGAACUUUUUCUUAACAAAUUAAAUUUUCGGAAUGCAAUCGCUCAUAACAUGCAUGACAAAACCGAUAACUGGCAUUUGAAAUAGCCGAACUCAAUACCCAGAUUUUUUUGAACAAAUUCAGGGGAAUUUCAACUCGAAUAACAGUAUCGAAACCGGCUAGAUCCAAACUCAUUAGCUACCCAAGUUACCAGCAUUCCAACAAUAAGAACAGGUACUAAUUCAAGGCUUGUAGGGUAUGAAUGGACAAAAGAAGCUUCAACGGUAAAAAAGAAGAAACCAUUGGAAAUGACAGAACACUGAAGAGCUACGUGACAAAACAUGAAACAGAAAGACAAGGCGGAGAUGAAGAAGAAGAAGAAGACAACACAAGAUCCCAUUUUUUCCUCCAUGGAAGUUCAGAGACAUCUAUCUCCAUAAAUACAAAAAAUUGAGUGAAAAUUCCCUAUGAACAAAAGACCAUCGUAUCCUCCUAGCUAGCUUGAUCCUACGGUCAUCUUUGAUGUUUGAUUUUGGAAUAGAGGGGUUGUGAUAAAAUGGAUGGAACUAUAUACAUGAGAAAAAUCAAAAAUUAAAAUCACAGUUUUUUAAGUUAUGGUGAGAUUUGGCAUUAAUAUGGGCUAAUAUACUCAUAAUUUAAUUUAUUUUUUUAUUUAUUCAAAGAGAAAUCCAACAUUUGUCUUCCACAAUACUGAAACAAACUACUUUUUUUCAUAAAAAGAAAAAGAAAGGUAUGUACAACAACCACUAAUGAAUAAAAGACCAUCGUAUCCUCCUACCUUGAUCCUACGGUCAUCUUUGAUGUUUGAUUUUAAAAUAGAGGGAUCGUGAUAAAAUGGAUGGGACUGAUACAUGAGUAAAAUCGAAAAUAUAAUCACAUUUUUUAAAGAUUUUAUGAGAUUCGGUGCAUUAGUACAUGUCGAUA